GUCUAAGUAUAAGCAAUCAUACUGUGAAACUGCGAAUGGCUCAUUAUAUCAGUUAUCGUUUAUUUGAUAGUACCUUACUACAUGGAUAACCGUGGUAAUUCUAGAGCUAAUACAUGCUAAAAACCUCGACUUCGGAAGGGGUGUAUUUAUUAGAUAAAAAACCAAUGCCCUUUGGGCUCCUUGGUGAUUCAUAAUAACUUUACGAAUCGCAUGGCCUUGCGCCGGCGAUGGUUCAUUCAAAUUUCUGCCCUAUCAACUUUCGAUGGUAGGAUAGUGGCCUACCAUGGUUUCCACGGGUAACGGGGAAUUAGGGUUCGAUUCCGGAGAGGGAGCCUGAGAAACGGCUACCACAUCCAAGGAAGGCAGCAGGCGCGCAAAUUACCCAAUCCCAAUUCGGGGAGGUAGUGACAAUAAAUACUGAUGCAGGGCUCUUUUGGGUCUUGCAAUCGGAAUGAGUACAGUCUAAAUCCCUUAACGAGGAACAAUUGGAGGGCAAGUCUGGUGCCAGCAGCCGCGGUAAUUCCAGCUCCAAUAGCGUAUAUUAAAGUUGUUGCAGUUAAAAAGCUCGUAGUUGAACCUUGGGUCUGGCUGGUUGGUCCGCCUCACCGCGUGUACUGAUCCGGCCGGACCUUUCCUCCUGGGGAAUCGCAUGCCCUUCACUGGGUGUGCUGGGGAACCAGGACUUUUACUUUGAAAAAAUUAGAGUGUUCAAAGCAGGCCUUCGCUCGAAUACAUUAGCAUGGAAUAAUAGAAUAGGACGUGUGGUUCUAUUUUGUUGGUUUCUAGGACCGCCGUAAUGAUUAAUAGGGAUAGUCGGGGGCAUCAGUAUUCAAUUGUCAGAGGUGAAAUUCUUGGAUUUAUUGAAGACUAACUACUGCGAAAGCAUUUGCCAAGGAUGUUUUCAUUAAUCAGUGAACGAAAGUUAGGGGAUCGAAGACGAUCAGAUACCGUCGUAGUCUUAACCAUAAACUAUGCCGACUAGGGAUCGGGCGAUGUUAUCUUUUGACUCGCUCGGCACCUUACGAGAAAUCAAAGUCUUUGGGUUCUGGGGGGAGUACGUCAGCAAUGAUGAAACUUAAAGAAAU
RNAcentral lists this ribosomal RNA (1085 nucleotides) under Xeropilidium dennisii. RNAcentral's name for it is "SSU rRNA". It matches the Rfam family "Eukaryotic small subunit ribosomal RNA", at positions 57 to 1153 of the family's 1831-position model. The record is from RNAcentral. Lineage: Eukaryota; Fungi; Ascomycota; Leotiomycetes; Chaetomellales; Chaetomellaceae.